GACGAACGCUGGCGGCGUGCCUAAUACAUGCAAGUCGAGCGGACGGAUGGGAGCUUGCUCCCAGACCGUCAGCGGCGGCCGGGUGAGUAACACGUGGGCAACCUGCCUGUAAGACUGGGAUAACUCCGGGAAACCGGGGCUAAUACCGGAUAACUCUUUCCCUCACAUGAGGGAAAGCUGAAAGAUGGCAUCUCGCUAUCACUUACAGCUGGGCCCGCGGCGCAUUAGCUAGUUGGUGAGGUAACGGCUCACCAAGGCGACGAUGCGUAGCCGACCUGAGAGGGUGAUCGGCCACACUGGGACUGAGACACGGCCCAGACUCCUACGGGAGGCAGCAGUAGGGAAUCUUCCGCAAUGGACGAAAGUCUGACGGAGCAACGCCGCGUGAGUGAUGAAGGUUUUCGGAUCGUAAAACUCUGUUGUCAGGGAAGAACAAGUACCGGAGUAACUGCCGGUACCUUGACGGUACCUGACCAGAAAGCCACGGCUAACUACGUG
Molecule: ribosomal RNA, 498 nt
Filed under: uncultured bacterium
Lineage: Bacteria
Description: partial 16S ribosomal RNA
Rfam family: Bacterial small subunit ribosomal RNA
Source: RNAcentral